Long non-coding RNA from Agelaius phoeniceus (red-winged blackbird), 2205 nucleotides. RefSeq lists it as uncharacterized. The record is from RefSeq and is a predicted model, not a curated record. Lineage: Eukaryota; Metazoa; Chordata; Aves; Passeriformes; Icteridae.
CUCGGCCAGGUGCUCUCUUCCCUCCGCAUCGCGGAGCGGCGCCGCCGCCGUCCCCACCACUCCCCCGAGGGGCGGCAGCCGCAGCCGCCGCCGCCCCGGCGCAGGCGCAGCCGCCCGCCCGCCUCCCGCCGCCACCGCCCGGAGGGUCCCCCGGCCCCGCCCCGCCGCAGCGAGCGCGGCCUCCGCAGGCACCAUCGGAGGUCCGGGCGCCCGCCGGCCCCGCGGGAAGAUGUUGUCACGCUGCAGCCUGAUGGAUGAUCCCACACAGAAUCAGUGAAUCAGUUAGGUUGGAAAAGACUUCUGCAAUCACUGAGUCCAGCCCAUGAUGGAUCAUAACCUUGUCAACUAGACCAGAGCAUAUCCAGGCUUUCCUUAAAUAUCUCCAGGGAUGGUGACUCUACCACCUCCCUUGGCAGGCCCUUCCAAUAUCUAAUCACCCUUUCUGUGAAAAAAAAUUCCUCCUGAUGUACAACCUACACCUUCCCUGGCACAGCUUAAAACCCUGUCUUCUCAUCCUGUCGCUGGCUGCCUGGGAGAAGAGGCUAAUCCCCACCUGGCUAAACCUCCUUUCAGGUAGUUGAAGAAGUAAUGGUGAAAGCCACAAGCUUUUCAAGUAAGGAAAUAAUUAAUAGAGGUUGUACUGGUCAGAAGACAUUAUUAGGUAAAAAUAAAAAAAAGCUUAGGAAAAAAAAACAGGAUACAGAAAACUGGAUGGUAGGAAGUGGGUAAGGGUUCCCUCACCAAAUAUGUCCUGUUUAAAAGUAGGUAGAGCACCUGUGAAAUUAAAAAUGCUGAUGGCAAGUGAUGAUUGUUUCAGGUGUAAUACUGCUGUAGUUUUAAGAAUUCAGCUGUGAUACAUCCUUUAUGUAUCUUCACAUAAAAAGUCUUGCUGUCCUGGAGAUGUGCUGGGCGUAUAAGUUUUCAAAAAAGUGCAUAAAGGAAAAAUAACAAAAAAAAACUACUUAUUUGAUUACUUUUGAGCUUCAAAUAUUUUAAGCUUUCUUCGUUUAGUAUGAGCAGGAUUAAAGCUGUCUUUUACAUGAGGAAGUCUUGUCAUCAAGUAGUCCUGACCUAUCAUAAUAACAUCUGCUUGAAUUGUUUGCCUGAAUUCUACCUUGGAUAUGUAGCUGAAGUAGUUUUGAGUAGUCAUUUAAGCUAAUACUAAAGAAAACUGCUGCACCCCGUUGGUUUGACUUUACUUGGCAGUCACCAACAUUCAUGGACACUGAACUGUAUAAAUGUGUUAAUCAGAUAAGUAAUCUUUUUUAAAAUAAACUCAGGUUAGAUUUAGUCCAGAUAACUGCCAUCUGAUCUGUGGUGCAGGUUGCAUAAAUGUUCAUGCUAAUACAAGGAAACACAAUAAAAAAGAGAGCAGGAUCAUUUUCAAUUGUAGCAAUAGUAUAGGAGCAUGAUUGCAUAAUGUUAGAGUGAAUUUUAAAACACUGAAAAUUUGUUUCAGUAGGAAAAAAUUACUUCUCACAUAACUAAUAAGAAAGUUGUAUGUUCUGCCAAUAUUGAAAGACCUUUUCACCUCCAAAUUGCUUCAUGAAACAGAAGUACUGGCAUGCUAAACUCCUUUCUGGGGCUCUGAGCAAGCCAGACCAGAAUGGCAAUAUUAAAAUUAAAUUAGCCAUUGCAUAUAUUUCUGAGCUGCCACUUCUGACCAAAGUCUCCAUUGAUAUUGGUUGUAUCAUUUGAAGGACUAUACAAGUAUGUUGUGGCUGUUACCCUCUAGAUAUGUGUAUAUUUGCAUAGGAGCUAUCGAAAUUAAAUUAAAUUAAAUUAAAUUAAGGCAAGGACUUGUUUAUAAAGUGGACUUAAUGAGGACUGCUUGAUGGUGGUUUUUAUGUGGACAUUAUUCUUAAGUGCUUUUUACAUAAUGGAAAGAAAAUAGACCUAAUAGUUUUCAAAACCCAGUAGUGAUACUAGAAGCACUUUCUUUAAAAAUAAAAUUUAGUUUACAUUACUACUUAUUUGGAAAUUUCAAAAAUUAUCUUCUGUUGUAGAGUGCAGAAAUCCAUGGAACUGUUCUUCUUGCACAGUAGCCUCUGAAGUGUACAUAUAUAUUUUAAAUAAUCCUCUUGAUUAUUCAAGUCUUAUUCACAGUAUGUUUCCAAGUGUGUCUAUAGAACAUUUAACAGGGAUUAUAUACUGUAUUAGUGUUGAACAUAUAAGCUGUAUUCUAAUAAACUAUUCUUAAAGGAA